This is a long non-coding RNA of Thalassophryne amazonica, 1081 nucleotides long. RefSeq lists it as uncharacterized. The transcript has 2 exons. The record is from RefSeq and is a predicted model, not a curated record. NCBI's taxonomy places the organism in Eukaryota, Metazoa, Chordata, Actinopteri, Batrachoidiformes, Batrachoididae.
AGAUGUACAGCGGUAACUGUGUCAGACCGGAGGCACACUAAUCACAGCCUCCAUAAACAGGUGGUAGAUUGUGCAAAGGGGUCGGAGCUGUUCUCAAUUUACUGUGUAAAUUAUGCAGAGCCCAAAACAAUGCGACGCAUAGACAGUGGAGUAGCGGGCAUUGGCUAACGAGAUGAUGAGAAGCCUGGGAGGGCCAGGAGCAGUAGUGGGGUGGUUGGGCAUGGCCGGCAGCUUGCGUCUGGAUCUGUAUGUUUGUGUGAGGGUGUAUGGUGGUCUAGAGGAGCUGUGGCAGGGGAGCAGACACUGUCCCAUCUGUACAAAUCCCACCGUCAGCACCCCUGCUGCCCAGACUGUGUGGGGAGGGUGAGUAGGCAGCUGGGGCACCCUGCCCCCAUUGCUCCAAUAAGAGCACCAGCCUUGGGAACUUCUGUGGCAGGGGUCCCCCAACACUGGCACGUAUGGGCCCCUAGAAGUCUGGCUGCAACCCCCCCAUCACCAAAAUGUCACUUUUCUCUCUCUUGUCUCCCCAACACUCCCUCCCACCGUAAUAGGAGGCUGGGGGCCUGGGAAGGACUUCAAGUUCACGGCCAGAACUCCUAUUGAGCUGACAGCCUGAAUGUUUGCUUAAUUCGGCUCCUCAUUCAGAACCACGUUAGAGGGGGAGUGCAGAGAAAGAGCCGGGGGGAGGAGGUGCUGCUAGAUUGGACACCAUCGCACUGUGAUAGCUAUUCAUUCAGCAGGGGGAGACCAGCAAAGAGAGCGAAGGAAGAAGGGAUGAGUGGGGGUGGGGGGCAUUGGGGGGGAUUUGAGUCGAGGUGCAUAGAAAGUGAGGAAUCCGGGCUCAAAGUUUGCUUUGAGCAGUGUGCGGCUCUCUCACACUCUUUCAAACCCUUAAUUAGUGGCACCUUCCAUUUUUCUUUCCUUUUCUCCAACUACACCCCAUCACCCCACUUCUUGACAACACACCCCCACACCAAAUCUCAAUCAUUCUCAUCAUCCUCUCGAUCCCCUGGUUUUAUUUGACCACAUGCUGAGGCUGUAAAUUUACCAUUAACAAGCUUAUUCACUGUCGCCCUCUCAA